GGAUGGAUGGCCGAGUGGUUAAGGCGCUGUGUUCAGGAUUCUUAAGUCAUCAUGGUUAUGCAGAAUCCCUGGGAAUCGCAGUGGGAAACCGCGUGGGUUCGAAUCCCACUCCAUUCA
Non-coding RNA from Kalaharituber pfeilii, 117 nucleotides. The record is from the annotation of a GenBank genome assembly. Lineage: Eukaryota; Fungi; Ascomycota; Pezizomycetes; Pezizales; Pezizaceae.